UUGUUGAGAGGAAAAUGACUUCCAAUGAAAUCAGGGUGACAACGUCAUCAUAACCUGUGCACCAGCUGGCCAAGGAGAAGGCAAUGGUGAAAAGGAUUCUUCAGUGAUGAAAUACAUGAAAAUUAUCCAGGAGAAUGGCAUGAUUAUAAGCAGGCAAAUAGCUGAUGCAUCACCCAAACCUUGACUCAGGAUUUCUCCUCCGCCUUGUCUUUCAAGACUAUCUACAACAAGGGCCAUCCUGAGCCAACAUAUCUGUGUUGCUGCUUCUUCCUUCGUUAGUUGGGAGAAGAGUCACAAUAAAUAAAAUGGUUAAGACUCUAAUGAAGUAUAGUAAUGCUGAAAACUGGUGCUUCUCUACCUCAGACUUUGUGAAUAUUACUCUACCCAUUCUAAGGAGCAGCCUUCCUCCUUGUGACCGGAGACUCAUUAGAAUGCACAGAAGGCACAGAAAAAAACGUAGUAAGAG
Molecule: long non-coding RNA, 466 nt
Organism: Hyaena hyaena (striped hyena)
Lineage: Eukaryota; Metazoa; Chordata; Mammalia; Carnivora; Hyaenidae
Exons: 4
Source: RefSeq, a predicted model, not a curated record